CGCUGGUUAGUAUAAUUAAUACCUUUAAUUUAGGCUUAAAAAAAAGAUUGCAUCUACCAGCUA
Molecule: transfer RNA, 63 nt
Filed under: Lens contradens
Lineage: Eukaryota; Metazoa; Mollusca; Bivalvia; Unionida; Unionidae
Description: tRNA-Leu
Source: RNAcentral